UGGGGAAUUUUGGACAAUGGGGGCAACCCUGAUCCAGCAAUGCCGCGUGGGUGAAGAAGGUCUUCGGAUUGUAAAGCCCUUUCGACGGGGACGAUGAUGACGGUACCCGUAGAAGAAGCCCCGGCUAACUUCGUGCCAGCAGCCGCGAUAAUACGAAGGGGGCUAGCGUUGCUCGGAAUUACUGGGCGUAAAGGGCGCGUAGGCGGCACUGUUAGUCAGGCGUGAAAGUCCUGGGCUCAACCUGGGAACUGCGCUUGAUACGGCAGAGCUAGAGGAUGGAAGAGGCUCGCGGAAUUCCCAGUGUAGAGGCGAAAUUCGUAGAUAUUGGGAAGAACACCGGUGGCGAAGGCGGCGAGCUGGUCCAUUACUGACGCUGAGGCGCGACAGCGUGGGGAGCAAAC
This 401-nucleotide ribosomal RNA is filed under the name uncultured bacterium. RNAcentral describes it as "bacterial SSU rRNA". It matches the Rfam family "Bacterial small subunit ribosomal RNA", at positions 355 to 773 of the family's 1533-position model. The record is from RNAcentral.